GUUUAUUGACACUGAGACACUGAUUUGAGAAAAAUACCCUCCUUUUUUAUGUCAAGAGAGGGAGAGAAUCCUCAGAGACAGGGAUACGAGCUGCUGAAAUGGUGGGCACAGUAAUUUCUUCCUGAAGUGCAGCAGAUCGCUGGGUUUCGAGACCAUGAUGGGAUAGUGGUAUCUGUUGAGACAUUUCAACCCUCAAAAACAUCACAACUGAUCGAGUGAGUGCUGGAAUGAUUUCUUGUCCUUCAUAAAAUCACCCAUCCAAGAAGAUGACCCCAGGUAUAAGGUUCCCAAGUGUAGUUCAUAUAGAAAUGAAAUUAAUGUUGAUUGAGGCUAACAUUCUGCCUAACAUCUGCUUUAUGUUCCACGGAAGAAAGCUCUGAUGUAAUAGUGUUUUUCAGGUUUACCUGUUUAAAUCCACACAGAGAUGUGACCUACACAGUCCACAGAGACUCUCAGUACAGCUUGUGCAGCAGAGUGGUAUGUGCAGGAUAUGAGGGGUCACCACUCCUCUCAACAUGACAAAUCACAU
This is a long non-coding RNA of Xyrauchen texanus (razorback sucker), 529 nucleotides long. RefSeq lists it as uncharacterized. The record is from RefSeq and is a predicted model, not a curated record. The transcript has 3 exons. Lineage: Eukaryota; Metazoa; Chordata; Actinopteri; Cypriniformes; Catostomidae.